UUUUUUCUCGAUCAAGGAAUUGAAUGAGGUUAGAGGAAUCCCGAUGACCAUAGGGUAAAAGGAACUAGUACAAAGGGUCUUUUGAAACACUUUCGUGCACUAAGUUCCCAGCCAAGGAUAAUUUCAGGUUUGCCAGUGUUGACCAGAGUUAGUAAAUGGCAAGUUUAGAAGACAUUACCAGGAAGUAAGAUUGGAGAGAUGACUAGAUUCGUGGUGAGCAAAGCUAAGCAGCUGUGAAAGGGACUGGUUGGGUGUGACACCGUAAUAAAGGUGACUAGAAACUUCUUACUAGAGAUUGGUUCGUUUCAAUGUCUUGAGUUGAUUCAUUCCAGUAUUAUGGAUGUAGUUUUAAAGUAAAUGAGGUUGA
Macrobrachium nipponense is the source of this 367-nucleotide long non-coding RNA. RefSeq lists it as uncharacterized. Lineage: Eukaryota; Metazoa; Arthropoda; Malacostraca; Decapoda; Palaemonidae. The record is from RefSeq and is a predicted model, not a curated record. The transcript has 3 exons.